GAAACUGGGUAUAAUACCCGAUAGGUCUCGAUUGCUGGAAUGCAUCGAGAUUUAAAGCUCCGGCGCCUAAGGAUGGGUCUGCGGCCUAUCAGGUAGUAGUGGGUGUAGCGUACCUACUAGCCUACGACGGGUACGGGUUGUGAGAGCAAGAGCCCGGAGAUGGAUUCUGAGACACGAAUCCAGGCCCUACGGGGUGCAGCAGGCGCGAAAACUUUACAAUGCUGGCAACAGCGAUAAGGGAACCUCGAGUGCCAGGUUACAAAUCUGGCUGUCGAGAUGCCUAAAAAGCAUUUCAUAGCAAGGGCCGGGCAAGACCGGUGCCAGCCGCCGCGGUAACACCGGCGACUCGAGUGGUAACCGUUAUUAUUGGGUCUAAAGGGUCUGUAGCCGGCCGGAUAAGUCUCUUGAGAAAUCUGGCAGCUUAACUGUCAGGCUUUCAGGAGAUACUGUCUGGCUCGAGGCCGGGAGAGGUGAGAGGUACUUCAGGGGUAGGGGUGAAAUCUUGUAAUCCUUGAAGGACCACCAGUGGCGAAGGCGUCUCACCAGAACGGACCUGACGGCAAGGGACGAAAGCUAGGGGCACGAACCGGAUUAGAUACCCGGGUAGUCCUAGCCGUAAACGAUACUCGCUAGGUGUCGGCCACGGUGCGACCGUUGUCGGUGCCGUAGGGAAGCCGUGAAGCGAGCCACCUGGGAAGUACGGCCGCAAGGCUGAAACUUAAAGGAAUUGGCGGGGGAGCACCACAACGGGUGGAGCUU
This 759-nucleotide ribosomal RNA is filed under the name uncultured Methanosaeta sp. Its description in RNAcentral is "bacterial SSU rRNA". It matches the Rfam family "Archaeal small subunit ribosomal RNA", at positions 136 to 896 of the family's 1478-position model. Lineage: Archaea; Methanobacteriati; Methanobacteriota; Methanomicrobia; Methanotrichales; Methanotrichaceae. The record is from RNAcentral.